Saimiri boliviensis boliviensis (Bolivian squirrel monkey) is the source of this 66-nucleotide small nucleolar RNA. RefSeq annotates it as small nucleolar RNA SNORD37. Lineage: Eukaryota; Metazoa; Chordata; Mammalia; Primates; Cebidae. The record is from RefSeq and is a predicted model, not a curated record.
GUUCGUGAUGACUGACUAUUUCUUCACUUUGACCUGAUGUCUACUGAAGAAAUCUAGUGUCUGAGA